UCCUCUCUUUAGUUGAAUCCGAGGUUUCAUGUCAUAACUCCCACCCGUGCCUCUGUAUUCCUUUUUGUGAGUAAGAUAGCUGGGCAUUCAAAGAGCACUUGCCUAAGUUGGGAUGAUACCUUGAGCUUGUAUUUAAUUUGUUCAAAAAUUUGGUUGGAAUAGACCUUAUUCUUGACAAACGGAUUAAGAUAUUAAUAAGGGAGGACUUGCUAUUUUUGAAGUAAUAAUCAACAGGAAGGGAUCGAUGAAUGGCAUUUGGCUCCUGGAAGGGGGAGAAAAACCUAUACUUCUAAUGGCUUAAAUACACC
This 308-nucleotide long non-coding RNA is filed under the name Elaeis guineensis (African oil palm). Its description in RNAcentral is "long non-coding RNA (EGUI_LNC023501)". Lineage: Eukaryota; Viridiplantae; Streptophyta; Magnoliopsida; Arecales; Arecaceae. The record is from RNAcentral.